Molecule: ribosomal RNA, 797 nt
Filed under: uncultured Tumebacillus sp.
Lineage: Bacteria; Bacillati; Bacillota; Bacilli; Caryophanales; Alicyclobacillaceae
Description: partial 16S ribosomal RNA
Rfam family: Bacterial small subunit ribosomal RNA
Source: RNAcentral
AGAGUUUGAUCCUGGCUCAGGACGAACGCUGGCGGCGUGCUUAACACAUGCAAGUCGAACGGGGCUCGCUACUUCGGUGGUGGGUCUAGUGGCGAACGGGUGAGUAACACGUGGGCAACCUGCCCCCGGCUCUGGGGUAACUCCAAGAAAUUGGGGCUAAUACCGGAUGUGACCGCUGGCCGCAUGGUCUGGUGGUGGAAAGGGUUUCCGGCUGGGGAUGGGCCCGCGGCCUAUCAGCUUGUUGGUGGGGUAAUGGCCUACCAAGCCGUUGACGGGUAGCUGGUCUGUGAGGACGAUCAGCCAGACUGGGACUGCGACACGGCCCAGACACCUACGGGUGGCAGCAGCGAGGAAUCUUCCACAAUGGGCGCAAGCCUGAUGGAGCAACGCCGCGUGAGUGAUGAAGGCCUUCGGGUUGUAAAACUCUGUCUUCUGUGACGAACAAGCAUGUGAGUGGAAAGCUCAUGCCCUGACGGUAACAGAGGAGGAAGCCACGGCUAACUACGUGCCAGCAGCCGCGGUAAUACGUAGGUGGCAAGCGUUGUCCGGAAUCACUGGGCGUAAAGCGCGCGCAGGCGGCGAUCUACGUCUGGGGUGAAAGCCCGGAGCUCAACUCCGGGACUGCCUUGGAUACGGGAUCGCUUGAGGAUUGGAGAGGCAAGGGGAAUUCCACGUGUAGCGGUGAAAUGCGUAGAUAUGUGGAGGAACACCUGUGGCGAAGGCGCCUUGCUGGCCAAUUUCUGACGCUGAGGCGCGAAAGCGUGGGGAGCAAACAGGAUUAGAUACCCCCGUAGUCC